AUUUGUUCUCUGCAGUGAAGAGUCUAUUUCUUGGUUUGCCUCUCUUUUUUUCUUUCCUUUGUUCAUUUGUUUUGUGUCUUAAGUUCCACAUAGGAGUGAAAUCAUAUGGUAUUUGUCUUUCUCCGACUUAUUUCACUUAGCAUAAUACUCUCUUGCUCUAUCCACGUUGUUGCAAAUGGCAAGAUUUCAUUCUUUUUUUACAGCUGAAUAAUAUUUCAUUGUGUAUAUAUACACCACAUCUUCUUUAUCCAUUCAUGUAUCAUUGGACACUUGGGCUGCUUCCAUAGUUUGGCUAUUGUAAAUAUUGCUGCAGUAAACAUAAAGGUACAUGUAUCUCUUUGAAUUAGUGUUUUGUAUUUUGGGGGUAAAUGCCCAGUAGUGUGAUUUCUGGGUGGUAAGAUAGUUCUAUUUUUAACUUUUUGAGGAACCUCCAUACUGUUUUCCACAAUGACUACACCAGUUUACAUUCCCACCAACAGUGCACAAGGGUUCCUUUUCCUCCACAUCCUCCCCAACACUUGUUGUUUCUUGUGUUUUUGAUUUUAGCCAUUCUGACCUGGGUGAGGUGGUAUCUCAUUGUAGUUUUGAUUUGCAUUUCCCCGGUGAUGAGUGAUACUGAGCAUCUUUUCACGUGUCUUUUGGCCAUCUGUGUGUCUUCUUUGGAGAAAUGUCUGUUCAUGUCUUCUGCCCAUUUUUUAAUUGGAUUAUUUGAUUUUGGGGUAUUGAGUUAUAUUAGUUCUUUAUAUAUUUUGCACACUAACCCUUUAUUGGAUAUGCCAUUUGCAAAUAUCUUCUCCCAUUCGGUAGGUUGCUUUUAGUUUUAUUGAUUGUUUCCUUCACUGUGCAGAAGCUUUUUAUUUUGAUGUAGUCCCAAUAGUUUAUUUUUGCUUUUAUUUACCUUCCCUCAGGGGACAUAGCUGGAAAAAAAAUCUGCUAUGGCCAGUGUCAGAGAAAUUGCUGCCUAUGCUCUCUUCUAGGAUUUUCAUGGAUUCAGAUCUCAUAUUUAGGUCUUUAAUUUUGAGCUUAUUUUUGUGUAUGGCGGAAGAAAGAAGUCCAGUUUCAUUCUUUUGUAUGUAGCUGUCCAGUUUUCUCAACACUGUUGAAGAGACUGUCUCUUAUCCAUUGUGUAUUCAUUCCUCCUUUGUUGAAGAUUCAUUGACCAUAUAAUUGUGGCUUUAUUUCUGGGUUUUCUGUACUAUUCCAUUGAUCUAUGUGUCUAUUUUUGACAGUAUGGUUUUGUAGCUUAUGAACCACUCUUUUUUUAGCUUAUAUAACUGAUACUUAGGCAAUGAGUGUGCGAGAGCUCUCUUUGAUGAGGCAAUACUUUCUAUUAUUAAUAUAUUAAUUAGUAUUUGUUUUUUCCUCAUUCUUCAUACAGGUCUAAAUGUUUAGAGAGGGUAUCCCCUAAAGGAGCCUGCAAAAAUGGGUCCCUGGAUAUCCCUCCCUCUUAUUCUGGUUUACAUAUUCUUUAAUGAGUUUUCAUUCCAAUGCUUUAAAUGGGACUUUGGGAAGUUUGUUUCAAAGGACUGAAGGCCUGUGGUGUCCUGUCAGCACCUGAGCUGGGUAGCCUCUUAAGGGAAGAAGGCCAGAAAGAGGUCAGAAAGAUGACAUUUCACGUUUGAUCUACCUCUGAGAUACCUCAUUCUUCAAAUUAUUGUGGCCCAAAUGGACAGACUGGAAGGACUCAAGGAAAGAAGAGCCGACGUUGUCAAGCCACCCCCUCAUUAUCUUCUGACCGGUCGGAAAAUGAAACUGUAGCAGCUCAACCAUCAGAGAAGAGGAAAUUGCAAUAUCUGAUGUCUUAAUAUGCAAUAUGAAGUGUUCCUUCAAGUAUUCUCUCAAGGAGCAGAAGAGGAUGAGGAAAUUACAGACAGCUCUUGACUGCAGACCACCCGUGUGCGUUUCCUGAUCUCCAGAAGCUGUCAGGGGUGGGCUGAAGAAGGGAAAGGAAUCAAAACCCCUAUCAGCCAACUUUGCUGCUUGCUAGGCAAGGGAAGUGAAUAUCACUUUGAUAUUCCAAUUUUGAAAAUUCCUGAAGGAUCCCCAAGUCAGAACAUGGGGACAUUAUGACAGACAUUUGAAAUUAUGAACGGUUUGCCCAUUAUUUAUCUCCAUGCAUUCCUGGUUUCCAUGACAUUCAUUACUUUUGUAUUUAUUCUGGGAGAUGAUUAUCUCCUGGCAUGAUGCCAGAGUCUCUGGGGGUGAAACUGGUGAAUCACACCAUAAUGAAAAUGCUUUUCAAAAUUUGUAUUUUUGAAUUUUUAUUAAAUAUUUUGUAGAAUCUUGUUUUCCAUGUAAGGGUAUGUUUGUUUCAUAAUGAAAGUCGAGCUGACAACCCCUCCAUAGCUUUUCAUCAGUACUGCCAGAAGGUAAUCAAAUUUGGUUCAUAAAACUAGGAAAUCUUGUUUCUUUGAGCUUUUUUCCCAAACUUUGUCACUUAGGGAAAAGAUUCAGUUCCAGCAAACUUUCUGUGGCAGGACCGUAAUAAUUAGUCUUUAGCAUGAAACACUAUUUGUGUUUCAGCCAUUACUUUUUCCAAAAAAUAUACUGUGCUGAAUAUCAAGAGCAUCUGGAAAGAGCUAUUAAAUAAGGAAAUUUUGUAUGAUGUUCAGGAAAACACCUUAUUAUUUCAAUUAAAUUUUGCAUUUUUUAUUUGAAAAUAAAUUGCAAGUUUGACACUGUGUUCAGAACAUGUUACCCCAAAACAUGGCACCUUGAUAUAUUGAAUAUUUUAAGCUGAGGAAGUUUGAGAAAAUGCCAGAAGAUGUAAGGCCUCUCUGACCUUCACCUGCCCUUCUCCCCUGAAGCAGUUUGCAAGACUCUCCUGGGAGAAGUGCCCUCCCUGUACGUGGAGGAAAGGAGCAGCCUUUUCUCUCAGAUGGAGGGAGAAGAAUCCAAAUCAACAGGCUUACUGAAUGUCUCCAGCUUAUUACAUUUAGCUUAUACCCCAUUUGUUCUAUCAUAUUUCUCCAUGACUCCACUCUCCAUCCAACCUGGCAUAAAAACACUCAGGUUUAACCUUUGUUUUUGAUUCUUCAUUUCUUUAUGAGGGCUCCUGUACCACAUAAAACUUACAUUAAAUAAAUUUGCAUACUUUCUCCUGUUAACCUGUCUUUGUCAGUUUAAUUUUCAGACUCAGCCAGGGUCCCUAAGUGAGUCAAGAAAAACUUUUUCUUCUCCUACAGUAUCAAGGGUUAGCUCAUGUUUUAUUAGACCAGAGCUUAGA
Mirounga angustirostris (Northern elephant seal) is the source of this 3226-nucleotide long non-coding RNA. RefSeq lists it as uncharacterized. The record is from RefSeq and is a predicted model, not a curated record. Lineage: Eukaryota; Metazoa; Chordata; Mammalia; Carnivora; Phocidae. The transcript has 4 exons.